Molecule: transfer RNA, 90 nt
Filed under: Pseudomonadales bacterium
Lineage: Bacteria; Pseudomonadati; Pseudomonadota; Gammaproteobacteria; Pseudomonadales
Also listed under: 6 other names
Description: tRNA-Ser(gga)
Rfam family: tRNA
About the family: Transfer RNA (tRNA) molecules are approximately 80 nucleotides in length. Their secondary structure includes four short double-helical elements and three loops (D, anti-codon, and T loops).
Source: RNAcentral
GGAGAGGUGGCAGAGUGGUCGAUCGCGCACGCUUGGAAAGCGUGUAAGGUGUAAAAGCCUUCGAGGGUUCGAAUCCCUCUCUCUCCGCCA